UCUUCAGACUCCUUGAACGGUCUCAUUUCGUCAGUCUUCAGGAUCGGUUUGGUAAAGUUGCAUGCUCUGUCGACGGUGCUGCUAAAUGCAGUAAUGAAGGAAAUGACAGGCCCCACAUUUGGCUAUCUUGAGUUGAGCCAGAACUCUGUGCGCCAGAAGCUCUUCCAUGUGGGAGAAGCUUAAUAUGAAGAUGUUUAAUUCAAGAUCAAACUCGGCUUCAAGGAGCAACUGAGUUGCCCUGAAUAACCAAGAGUUCCUGAGCGUGUUGUCGUUCUCCGAACCAUGUCUACCAAAUGGCCACAGGGUGGCUCAAGCCCUGAUGCAGAGUGACCCUUUGGCCUGUUAUAUCAUGUGCCAAGGGCUCUGAGAGGGUAAUGAAUUAAGUACACCAGGACUGGUCUUUUGAUCAUCCAGUACACCCGGUCUUGGCUGAAUAAUACCUCUCCAGUGAAGGUUGUGUGUCCCUGGCUAACAAAUUACCAGAGUAAGGUGAUCUGUUUCAGCCCUGCAUGCACCUAUCAAGUUAGGUGUUUGAAGAAAUGGAACAAGAUUCAAUUGAAAAUGCACUUGAAGAUAUAGCUCAAUCUGACCUGUUGAACUUCUGAUAAUCUCAAUAAAAUGUUAAUGUAAUAUGAUUACUUUCUACUUUCCUGGAUAAGGACAUGGAAAGUGUUGGGUUCAUGACCUGAAAUUGAAGUUCCCCUGAAUUUUCCCAUAUGCACAAAGCUUAGUUCUCCAAUUGUGUGCACAUUUGUUUACAUCCCGGUUAGUACAUGUUUCUCCUUUGUCAAGAAAAUCUAGAGAAGUGGGGCAUAUCAAGAAACUGAUUAUAACAGGUCCAUCUUGUGCUGAGAGAGCUCUUUGGUGGGGGAAACAAAUUCUGAUUGGUUCCUUGGUGUGGGCCCUGUUCAGUUGAUGCCUAUAGUUUGGGACUUUAUUUCAUCAGGUAAAAUAACUCCAAUUACAUUUAAAUUUCCAGUGGGGAUGUUUGCACCACAUUAAACUUGCUUUGCGGCAUAUAAUUGGCACAGCCCUCGCACCCACCAAGAAGGUGGACUUCAGGACUAGGUUUGAAGGUGUUGUCAGUGUUUUGCAUAAAUUGUGGUUGGCGGUGUAGUACAAUAUGGUUUGGCGCCUAUCAGCCCUACUGGUACUCCCAACACUUGAGUGGCUUUCAGAAUGUCAUGUGGUUCACACGAUUAAAGGAUUCCCUUCAGUGAGCAGAGCCUAACU
This is a long non-coding RNA of Oncorhynchus masou masou (cherry salmon), 1233 nucleotides long. RefSeq lists it as uncharacterized. The record is from RefSeq and is a predicted model, not a curated record. NCBI's taxonomy places the organism in Eukaryota, Metazoa, Chordata, Actinopteri, Salmoniformes, Salmonidae. The transcript is spliced from 9 exons.